This 595-nucleotide ribosomal RNA is filed under the name uncultured archaeon. Its description in RNAcentral is "bacterial SSU rRNA". It matches the Rfam family "Archaeal small subunit ribosomal RNA", at positions 61 to 641 of the family's 1478-position model. The record is from RNAcentral.
UAUGGGAUACCUAAAAUUCCCAUGGCAAACUGCUCAGUAACACAUGAUCAACUUGCCCUAUAGAGAAAAAUAACCUCGGGAAACUGAGGAUAGUUUUUCAUAGUUGAAUAGGCUUGGAAAAGUUUUUCACUAAAAGGGGUAAGGAAAAUGGUCCUUAUCUGCUAUAGGAUAGGAUCGUGUUCGAUUAUGGUUGUUGGUGAGGUAAUGGCUCACCAAGCCGAUAAUCGAUAGGGGCCGUGAGAGCGGAAGCCCCGAUAUGGGUACUGAGACAGCGACCCAGGCCUUACGAGGCGCAGCAGGCGCGAAACCUCCACAAUACACGAAAGUGUGAUGGGGUUACCCAAAGUGUUCUAUUUAGAACUGUAGUAGGUGAGUAAUGUUCCCUACUAGAAAGGAGAGGGCAAGGCUGGUGCCAGCCGCCGCGGUAAAACCAGCUCUUCAAGUGGUCGGGAUAAUUAUUGGGCUUAAAGUGUCCGUAGCCGGUUUAGUAAGUUCCUGGUAAAAUCGGGUAGCUUAACUAUCUGCAUGCUAGGAAUACUGCUAUACUAGAGGGCGGGAGAGGUCUGAGGUACUACAGGGGUAGGGGUGAAAUCUU